Molecule: ribosomal RNA, 240 nt
Filed under: uncultured bacterium
Lineage: Bacteria
Description: partial 16S ribosomal RNA
Rfam family: Bacterial small subunit ribosomal RNA
Source: RNAcentral
UGAUCAUGGCUCAGGAUGAACGCUAGCUACAGGCUUAACACAUGCAAGUCGAGGGGCAGCGGGAUUGAAGCUUGCUUCAAUUGCCGGCGACCGGCGCACGGGUGAGUAACGCGUAUCCAACCUUCCGCUUACUCGGGGAUAGCCUUUCGAAAGAAAGAUUAAUACCCGAUGGUAUCUUAAGCACGCAUGAGAUUAAGAUUAAAGAUUAUCGGUAAGCGAUGGGGAGUGCGUUCCAUUAGG